AUAUAUUUUUGGCUGGGUUUGUGCCUACAGAAAAUCUACGUUUUCGUGACGAGUCUCUUACUUUUAAGGUUGCUGAGACCCCACAAGAGGCUGCUGAGGAAAUUGAAUCAUAUGCACGUUACAGAUAUCCUACCAUGACUAAGACUCAAGGUAAUUUCAAGCUUAAGGUUUCUGAGGGUGAAUUUACUGAUUCACAGAUUGUUGUGAUGCUUGGUGAGAAUGGGACUGGGAAGACAACCUUCAUUCGUAUGCUGGCUGGUCUAUUAAAGCCUGACGUGGUGGAAGGAUCUGAUAUUGAGAUGCCAGAGUUCAAUGUUUCAUACAAGCCCCAGAAAAUUAGUCCAAAAUUUCAAUCCACUGUGAGACAUUUGCUACAUCAAAAAAUACGUGAUUCUUAUCAACACCCCCAGUUUUGUUCAGAUGUGAUGAAGCCUCUCCAAAUUGAGCAAUUGAUGGACCAAGAAGUUGUGAAUCUUUCUGGUGGUGAGUUGCAAAGAGUUGCCUUAGCCCUGUGCCUUGGAAAGCCCGCUGAUAUAUAUCUGAUCGAUGAGCCAAGUGCCUAUCUUGAUUCUGAGCAGCGUAUUGUAGCUUCUAAAGUCAUCAAGAGAUUCAUUCUUCACGCGAAGAAGACUGCAUUUGUUGUAGAGCAUGACUUCAUAAUGGCAACUUACCUGGCAGAUAGAGUCAUUGUAUAUGAGGGGACGCCUUCCAUAGAUUGUGUUGCAAAUGCACCUCAAUCACUGUUGACUGGAAUGAACUUAUUUUUAUCACAUCUGAACAUUACGUUUCGAAGGGACCCAACUAAUUACCGUCCAAGGAUCAACAAACUAGAAUCAACCAAGGAUAGGGAGCAGAAGUCAGCUGGAUCUUACUAUUAUUUGGAUGAUUAACCAGAACAGGUUGUGCAUCCAUGAUCCUUGCUUACCUCUUUUAAUUGGCACCUUGAUGUUAACAGAAGCUCCACUCUUCCUUAGGUGCUAAUUGAUGAUCACGAGCAGCCUCUGGGCAUUUUUAUACCAUAGACGUCUGACGAGGUUGACGUCUGAGCACACAGAUGAUUGGAAUAUCGCCUUUUGUUUUCGUCGUUGAUUUAGUAAUUAUUACUGGUAUUAUGUACUCAUAAAUGUAGUUUUAUUCACCAAUUUUGACAGCAGAUGGAGUAGUUGAUUUCCAUUUUGUAUGUUUUAUCUACUGGCACAUGAAUGAGGUGCUUGAUUGGGUUGAUGAAAAACUGGAUUGGCAUUUAUGCUGUAAGCCACUGUUUAUUUUUUAAUCUCUCAUUGGGCUAAGUUAUUCAAG
Molecule: unclassified non-coding RNA, 1299 nt
Filed under: Hevea brasiliensis (rubber tree)
Lineage: Eukaryota; Viridiplantae; Streptophyta; Magnoliopsida; Malpighiales; Euphorbiaceae
Source: RNAcentral